RNAcentral lists this ribosomal RNA (464 nucleotides) under uncultured bacterium. Its description in RNAcentral is "partial 16S ribosomal RNA". It matches the Rfam family "Bacterial small subunit ribosomal RNA", at positions 339 to 795 of the family's 1533-position model. The record is from RNAcentral.
CUACGGGGGGCACCAGUGAGGAAUUUUGCGCAAUGGGGGAAACCCUGACGCAGCAACGCCGCGUGAGCGAAGAAGGCCCUCGGGUCGUAAAUCUCUGUCAAGUGGGAAAAAAAUACUUUGAUCAAUAGUCAAAGGGCUUGAUGGUACCACUGGAGGAAGCACCGGCUAACUCCGUGCCAGCAGCCGCGGUAAUACGGAGGGUGCAAGCGUUGUUCGGAUUUACUUGGCGUAAAGAGCGUGUAGGCGGUUUAGCAAGUCAGAUGUGAAAGCCCUGGGCUCAACCCGGGAAGUGCAUUUGAAACUGCUUCACUAGCGUAUGGGAGAGGAGAUUGGAAUUCCUGGUGUAGAGGUGAAAUUCGUAGAUAUCAGGAGGAACACCCGUGGCGAAUGCGAUUCUCUGGACCAAUACUGACGCGGAGACGCGGAAGCGUUGGGAGCAAACAGGAUUAGAUACCCGGGUAGUC